Molecule: ribosomal RNA, 902 nt
Filed under: marine metagenome
Description: bacterial SSU rRNA
Rfam family: Bacterial small subunit ribosomal RNA
Source: RNAcentral
UGAACGCUGGCGGUAGGCUUAACACAUGCAAGUCGUGCGAGAAAGUAUCUUCGGAUAUGAGUAGAGCGGCGGACGGGUGAGUAACGCGUAGGAAUCUACCUAGUAGAAGGGGAUAGCCCGAGGAAACUCGGAUUAAUACCGUAUACCUCCUUCGGGAGAAAGAAGGCCUCUCUUUGAAGCUUUCGCUACUAGAUGAGCCUGCGUAAGAUUAGCUUGUUGGUGAGGUAAAGGCUCACCAAGGCUACGAUCUUUAGCGGGUCUGAGAGGACGAUCCGCCACAUUGGGACUGAGACACGGCCCAGACUCCUACGGGAGGCAGCAGUGGGGAAUAUUGGACAAUGGGCGAAAGCCUGAUCCAGCCAUACCGCGUGUGUGAAGAAGGCCCUAGGGUUGUAAAGCACUUUAAGUUGGGAAGAAAAGUUAUUGGUUAAUACCCAAUGACCGUGACAUUACCAUCAGAAUAAGGACCGGCUAAUUCCGUGCCAGCAGCCGCGGUAAUACGGAAGGUCCAAGCGUUAAUCGGAAUUACUGGGCGUAAAGCGCGCGUAGGUGGUUUAUUAAGUUGGGUGUGAAAUCCCCGGGCUCAACCUGGGAACUGCAUCCAAAACUGAUUCACUAGAGUACGAUAGAGGGAGGUAGAAUUCACAGUGUAGCGGUGGAAUGCGUAGAUAUUGUGAAGAAUACCAAUGGCGAAGGCAGCCUCCUGGAUCUGUACUGACACUGAGGUGCGAAAGCGUGGGUAGCGAACAGGAUUAGAUACCCUGGUAGUCCACGCCGUAAACGAUGUCAACUAUCUGUUGGAAAGCAUUGCUUUUCAGUGGAGCAGCUAACGUAAUAAGUUGACCGCCUGGGGAGUACGGCCGCAAGGCUAAAACUCAAAUGAAUUGACGGGGACCCGCACA